Molecule: ribosomal RNA, 253 nt
Filed under: uncultured bacterium
Lineage: Bacteria
Description: partial 16S ribosomal RNA
Rfam family: Bacterial small subunit ribosomal RNA
Source: RNAcentral
UACGAAGGAUCCAAGCGUUGUCCGGAUUUACUGGGUUUAAAGGGAGCGUAGGCGGACGAUUAAGUCAGUGGUGAAAGCUUGCAGCUUAACUGUAAAAUUGCCAUUGAAACUGAUCGUCUUGAAUAUGGUUGAGGUGGUUGGAAUAUAUCAUGUAGCGGUGAAAUGCUUAGAUAUGAUAUAGAACACCGAUUGCGAAGGCAGAUCACUAAACCAUAAUUGACGCUGAGGCUCGAAAGCGUGGGGAUCAAACAGG